GCCGGGCGCGGUGGCGCACGACUGUAGACCCAGCUACUCGGGAGGCUGAGACAGGAGUCCAGGGGUUCUGGGCUGUAGUGCGCUAUGCCGAUCGGGUGUCCGCACUAAUUUCCGCAUCAAUAUGGUGACCUCCCGGGGGCGGGGGGCCACCAGGUUGCCUAAGGAGGGGUGAACCGGCCCAGGUCGGAAACGGAGCAGGUCAAAACUCCCGUGCUGAUCAAAGCUACAGGAUCUCCAUGACACGGGGCAACAACAGGAUAUCAAAGAGGGCCCAGUAUUGAU
Molecule: non-coding RNA, 282 nt
Organism: Mesocricetus auratus (golden hamster)
Lineage: Eukaryota; Metazoa; Chordata; Mammalia; Rodentia; Cricetidae
Source: Rfam